This 254-nucleotide unclassified non-coding RNA is filed under the name uncultured Acidimicrobiia bacterium. RNAcentral's name for it is "contains 16S-23S intergenic spacer region". It matches the Rfam family "Bacterial small subunit ribosomal RNA", at positions 524 to 776 of the family's 1533-position model. The record is from RNAcentral. Lineage: Bacteria; Bacillati; Actinomycetota; Acidimicrobiia.
UACAGAGGGGGCGAGCGUUGUCCGGAUUUAUUGGGCGUAAAGAGCUCGUAGGCGGCUCAGCAAGUCGGCUGUGAAAUCCCGAGGCUUAACCUCGGAACUGCAGUCGAUACUGUUGUGGCUAGAGUCUGGUAGAGGAGAAUGGAAUUCCCGGUGUAGCGGUGAAAUGCGCAGAUAUCGGGAGGAACACCAGUAGCGAAGGCGGUUCUCUGGGCCAGUACCGACGCUGAGGAGCGAAAGCGUGGGUAGCAAACAGG